AAUCAGACUGUGUGCUUGUAUACUAAAAUAGGACCCAUAUACAGAAGAAUGCCAUAGACCCUACACAAGAAUGACAGGAAAAUUUGUGACGUGUUCUGUAUUUUU
Small nuclear RNA from Pan troglodytes (chimpanzee), 105 nucleotides. The record is from Ensembl. Lineage: Eukaryota; Metazoa; Chordata; Mammalia; Primates; Hominidae.